Molecule: ribosomal RNA, 1459 nt
Filed under: Lactiplantibacillus plantarum
Lineage: Bacteria; Bacillati; Bacillota; Bacilli; Lactobacillales; Lactobacillaceae
Description: bacterial SSU rRNA
Rfam family: Bacterial small subunit ribosomal RNA
Source: RNAcentral
CGGCGUGCCUAUACAUGCAAGUCGAACGAACUCUGGUAUUGAUUGGUGCUUGCAUCAUGAUUUACAUUUGAGUGAGUGGCGAACUGGUGAGUAACACGUGGGAAACCUGCCCAGAAGCGGGGGAUAACACCUGGAAACAGAUGCUAAUACCGCAUAACAACUUGGACCGCAUGGUCCGAGUUUGAAAGAUGGCUUCGGCUAUCACUUUUGGAUGGUCCCGCGGCGUAUUAGCUAGAUGGUGGGGUAACGGCUCACCAUGGCAAUGAUACGUAGCCGACCUGAGAGGGUAAUCGGCCACAUUGGGACUGAGACACGGCCCAAACUCCUACGGGAGGCAGCAGUAGGGAAUCUUCCACAAUGGACGAAAGUCUGAUGGAGCAACGCCGCGUGAGUGAAGAAGGGUUUCGGCUCGUAAAACUCUGUUGUUAAAGAAGAACAUAUCUGAGAGUAACUGUUCAGGUAUUGACGGUAUUUAACCAGAAAGCCACGGCUAACUACGUGCCAGCAGCCGCGGUAAUACGUAGGUGGCAAGCGUUGUCCGGAUUUAUUGGGCGUAAAGCGAGCGCAGGCGGUUUUUUAAGUCUGAUGUGAAAGCCUUCGGCUCAACCGAAGAAGUGCAUCGGAAACUGGGAAACUUGAGUGCAGAAGAGGACAGUGGAACUCCAUGUGUAGCGGUGAAAUGCGUAGAUAUAUGGAAGAACACCAGUGGCGAAGGCGGCUGUCUGGUCUGUAACUGACGCUGAGGCUCGAAAGUAUGGGUAGCAAACAGGAUUAGAUACCCUGGUAGUCCAUACCGUAAACGAUGAAUGCUAAGUGUUGGAGGGUUUCCGCCCUUCAGUGCUGCAGCUAACGCAUUAAGCAUUCCGCCUGGGGAGUACGGCCGCAAGGCUGAAACUCAAAGGAAUUGACGGGGGCCCGCACAAGCGGUGGAGCAUGUGGUUUAAUUCGAAGCUACGCGAAGAACCUUACCAGGUCUUGACAUACUAUGCAAAUCUAAGAGAUUAGACGUUCCCUUCGGGGACAUGGAUACAGGUGGUGCAUGGUUGUCGUCAGCUCGUGUCGUGAGAUGUUGGGUUAAGUCCCGCAACGAGCGCAACCCUUAUUAUCAGUUGCCAGCAUUAAGUUGGGCACUCUGGUGAGACUGCCGGUGACAAACCGGAGGAAGGUGGGGAUGACGUCAAAUCAUCAUGCCCCUUAUGACCUGGGCUACACACGUGCUACAAUGGAUGGUACAACGAGUUGCGAACUCGCGAGAGUAAGCUAAUCUCUUAAAGCCAUUCUCAGUUCGGAUUGUAGGCUGCAACUCGCCUACAUGAAGUCGGAAUCGCUAGUAAUCGCGGAUCAGCAUGCCGCGGUGAAUACGUUCCCGGGCCUUGUACACACCGCCCGUCACACCAUGAGAGUUUGUAACACCCAAAGUCGGUGGGGUAACCUUUUAGGAACCAGCCGCCUAAGGGUG